GAAAUGCGAUAAGUAAUGUGAAUUGCAGAAUUCAGUGAAUCAUCGAAUCUUUGAACGCACCUUGCGCCUUCUGGUAUUCCGGAAGGCAUGCCUGUUUGAGUGUCAUGAACACCUCACCCCCUCGGGUUUCCGAUUGGGUGGAUUUGGGCGCUGCCAGUCACAUGGCUCGCCUUAAAAGCAUUAGCGGUUGUUGACUUAAUAAGUUUCGUCUUGUCGACCGCUUCUAAUCUCCUUAGGGAUGUCUUCGGACACUUCAUGAUCUGACCUCAAAUCAGGUAGGACUACCCGCUGAACUUAA
RNAcentral lists this unclassified non-coding RNA (298 nucleotides) under uncultured Tremellomycetes. RNAcentral describes it as "sequence contains ITS1". The stretch from base 1 to 105 matches the Rfam family "5.8S ribosomal RNA", at positions 50 to 154 of the family's 154-position model. The record is from RNAcentral. Lineage: Eukaryota; Fungi; Basidiomycota; Tremellomycetes.